UCAUUCUCUUCCAUUUCAUUUCAUGAAACAUUUUCAGAUGAUUUUCUCUCUCUUUGUCUUCCAAACCUCCGGCCACACUGUAUCGCCUGAAUGAGGGUUCUACAUUUCCGGCAAGGCUAGGGUUCCAGCGAUUGUCAGGGGUUUUGUGCGGAUGAAUCCCGCGACAAGGUACCCUUGUAUCUUUUUAACUCUCUCCGAUCUGUUUAUUCCGCUCCUCCGACUAAUCUCAAGAUUAUAGAUCUGUAUGUCGUGUUUGCUGUCUUCACUGCCCUAAUUCAGGUAUUAGAUCUAUACGAAUCACUUUUGAUUA
RNAcentral lists this long non-coding RNA (310 nucleotides) under Helianthus annuus (common sunflower). Its description in RNAcentral is "sRNA HanXRQr2_Chr05g0237331". The record is from RNAcentral. Lineage: Eukaryota; Viridiplantae; Streptophyta; Magnoliopsida; Asterales; Asteraceae.